RNA transcript from Halichondria panicea, 2041 nucleotides. RefSeq lists it as uncharacterized. The record is from RefSeq and is a predicted model, not a curated record. The transcript has 6 exons. Lineage: Eukaryota; Metazoa; Porifera; Demospongiae; Suberitida; Halichondriidae.
AGUGCAAUCUCGACCUUUGACCUCAGCCCAAAACAAAAAAUUUAAUUUCUGGAGAAAGGCUAACGAUCUGAGAGAUUACCCCUACCAAACAAUGGCAGCUCAAUCCUUGGUCCCCCACAUCCACCCAAGCCCAGCUUACCACAGGGACUUCUUCCUACUACAAAUUCCCAUCAAGAUCGAAAACCAACCAAGUGUCAUCAAAAUAGUUGAUGCCAUUCCUGUGCUACACUGCCCUGUGGUGGAACUCUCAGUGCAACUGGUCGUACUAGCUCAGCAUGUCUCCACUGUGCUAGCUGAUUACCAUAUCACGCUAAAAGGAGCCUAUUACGAUGACAACUAUCCACUCUAUGCCAUUGAUCUACCUCCUUCAAUCUCCUAUGAAGGAAUGCAAUCUCUUUUGCCUGCUUUCUCAAAUGUUUGCUGUAGCAUUACUGAGUAUUUUUCAAGAGUUCCUUGCAAGACUGAAGUGCACGUGGUAGUUAAGUUUCAGCUUUUUCUCUGCUCUCCUGCAAAGGACAGCUUUACAACUUUCAAACUCACCUCAAUUCAGCUUGGACAAGAAUCAGAUGAGAUUCUUUUGACCUUUUUAGACAGCAAUAUGUUUAAAUUCUCUGAGCUCCUUUCAUCCUCUAAAGCUGCUGCUGUAUCAUUUGUAUCACUCCUCCGAGCACUGAGUGGAAAGACCAGUCACAAGUGGUUCAAUCUUGGAGCCUUGCUUGGAGUACCCGCUGAGAAAUUGCAGACAAUUGAGAAGCAAUACCAGAAUCCAGAGUCUUGCUUGACACACACGCUCAAGAAUGUGGUGGACAGUAACACCGAGCUUACGUGGGAAGAGGUGGUCUCAACGCUUUCUACUAUUGGGCUGAGCAUUCUGGCAGAGGAAGUCAGUAAGGAACAUGGUGUAUGCUUCCUGAGGGCUGCUGAAAACGAACCUUCGACUAAACCCACUCUCCAAUCGUUGAGCCAAUCUUUAGCUGAUGUCAGUGCCAAGUGGUUCAACCUUGGUGCUCUUUUAGGAGUCCCCCCCAGUACACUACAAGCAAUUGACAACCACUACCACUCUGACUGUGAUGACUGCCUCACUAGAAUGCUUAUGUGGCUGAUUGAAAACUCACGCAUCACAUGGUCCUCAGUAGCACAAGCUCUGGGCCAGAUUGGAUAUAGAGAUCUAGCGGAACAAAUCAGACAAUCUCAUGAUAUCUCACCAAUACCAUAGAUAGUAAAGGGGAGGGAUUGGAAACACAUGGAUUUCGCGCGGCCCAUGCGUGUCGCACCGGAAAUUGACAGGAAGUACAGCUUGAUGCUUUUUUAUUGGAAAUCUUUGCAAGAGAAUGGCUACUACUUUGCAUACGAGUAUGAGUGUCUCUCCGUCUGUUUCUCUUGUUCUGUCUGCUGUUCAAAGAGUUGUUAAUGAUGACAUGUUCACCAAAGUCUCCAGUCAGAAGUCAAGAAAAAAAUUAAAGAAAUCUGCUAAUCUGCUCAAAGAAGAACUACAACUUUGUAUCUGGGACCUCCUUGAUGAUGAAAAAGAAGGUGGCACAGCAAAUGAUUGGGUUGAUGCCAUUGAUCGUAGGGGAUUGACCCGUGUAAAUGAAAUGACAUUUCAGGUAUUUCUUGCCAUGGAAUUGGAGUUACGAAAGCAUUUAACAGUAAAACGAUGUUUUGAUCUGGAGCAGAUAUGCAAGUUUGUUGUAGGUAAUGACGACGUUUUGUUUAUUGGUCGAUUGUGGGAGGAGAUUGGGAACAAGAAGAGAGCCAACAAUUACUAAAACUAGUUGCUGAUUUAUAUAUCACAAUAAGAGGUUUCUCUUUUGCAAGUGUUUGGGUAGAGAAUUACAAGUCUUCAACGAAAACAAGCCUUCAAAAGAGCAAGGCACUGAGGAAGAAACUGAACUCUACAUGAACGUAUAAUUUUAGUAUAAUUAUAGUAAGUAUAAUAAUUAUAUCCUGUACAUGUAUACUGGCUAUAAUAAUUAUUAUAAUUGUCAACCCUUAUAACAUGAAAAUUUAAUGUUGGGAAAACAGCUGCAUGCAUCGCAUG